This is an RNA transcript of Eriocheir sinensis (Chinese mitten crab), 2511 nucleotides long. RefSeq lists it as uncharacterized. The transcript has 5 exons. The record is from RefSeq and is a predicted model, not a curated record. Lineage: Eukaryota; Metazoa; Arthropoda; Malacostraca; Decapoda; Varunidae.
CGCAUUGAUAUAAGGAAGCCACCGAGCCAAGCAGCAUCAUUCGUGUGGCGAAGACCAGAGGCUUCACACACACGCACCUGACCACUGGCACCUGUACUCUCUUCAUUAGCAGGGAUGCGGUCAAUGGGUGUGGUAGUGGCGGUGGUGGUGCUGGCGUUGGCGGCCACGCGCUCCACGGGGCUGAAGUGCAAACCCCAGAACUGCGCGCUCCUUCAAUGCGGGGUCCCUCUAUGCCCACCCGGGUUCAAGUUGGGUUCGAUUCCUUGCUCGUGUUGUCCUGGCUGCGUCCCGGACCCUGAUGACCAGCAAGAGUAUUACCCAGCGCUGGAGAGGGACAAGCGCAAGAUUGGAUCUCGACAGCGCCUCGCCAAGCAACACCGCCAUCUCGCCUCCGGCUUCAACGGGCCCUCAGGGUUUGAAGAACUCCUGAGGAAAUUGGAACGGCAGAAGCAGGGGCGUUAAUAAUUGGGUUCCUGCAACAUUGGGGGCUUGGCUCGGUAUUCACGGAUGGAAUCACGCACCGUUGCCAGGUUAUCGUACUGGGAGCAUCACAUUAACCAGCUUCUCCCCCAUAAAUAUCACCAGGAAACAGGAAUAAUAAACCAUUUCAACCAUAACUACAAAUAAAUCUUGUUAUUGCGGGCCAGGAAACAGUUUAUGGGAUGGAAAUCGGGAAAUAUGGGAAACUGAGUACGACGAUCUGGCAACCGGCGGCUUUCACCUCUCACAUCACUUAUACCAAAGGCUGAAAAGGAGGCUGAUCGGGUUUUCAUGAGGGAUUUGUCACGUUCACGGCACAGAGGAAGGAUCGAGCUACCACCAUCUCCUCACGUCCUAUCCAGAAGCUCUUUGGUGUCUCAUUUCUAUCGCACUCUUCUUCUCCUCUGUUCGCUCUUCCUCUCUCCUGUCUUGCCCAUUUGAAACUCUCCUUUUCACCUUUCCAGAAGCUCUUUGGCAUCUUCCCUGUCUGUCACACUUUUCAGAUCUGUUCUCUCCUCCUGUUCUCUUUUCCUCUCCCCUCCAGAAUGCUAACGUUGUCCUUGGCUUGCCCAGUUCAAACUCUCCUAUUCAUCAUUCCAGACGCUCUUUGGCAUCUUCUCUGUCCGUCACACUCUUCAGAUCUGUUCUCUCCUCCUGUUCUCUCUCUCUUCCUCUCUCCUGUCCUGCUCAUAAUGGAAUGCUAACGUUGUCCUUGUCUUGCCCAUUUCAAACUCUCCUUUUCAUCUUUCCAGAAGCUCUUUGGCAUCUUCCCUGUCUGUCACACUUUUCAGAUCUGCUCUCUCCUCCUGUUCUCUCUCUCUUCCUCUCUCCUGUCUUGCUCAUAAUGGAAUGCUAACGCUGUCCUUGGCUUGCCCAUUUCAAACUCUCCUUUUCAUCUUUCCAGAAGCUCUUUGGCAUUUUCUCUGUCUGUCACACUCUUCAGAUCUGUUCUCUCCUCCUGUUCUCUUUUCCUCUCCCCUCCAGAAUGCUAACGUUGUCCUUGUCUUGCCCAUUUGAAACUCUCCUUUUCAUCAUCCCAGAAGCUCUUUGGCAUCUUCUCUGUCUGUCACACUCUUCAGAUCUGUUCUCUCCUCCUGCUCUCUCUCUCUUCCUCUCUCCUGUCCUGCUCAUAAGAGAAUCCUAACGUUGUCCUUGUCUUGCCCAUUUCAAACUCUCCUUUUCAUCAUCCCAGAAGCUCUUUGGCAUCUUCUCUGUCUGUCACACUCUUCAGAUCUGUUCUCUCCUCCUGCUCUCUCUCUCUUCCUCUCUCCUGUCCUGCUCAUAAUGGAAUGCUAACGCUGUCCUUGGCUUGCCCAUUUCAAACUCUCCUUUUCAUCAUCCCAGAAGCUCUUUGGCAUCUUCUCUGUCCGUCUCACUCUUCAGAUCUGUUCUCUCCUCCUGUUCUCUCUUCCUCUCUCCUGUCUUGCUCAUAAUGGAAUGCUAACGUUGUCCUUGGCUUGCCCAUUUGAAACUCUCCUUUUCAUCAUCCCAGAAGCUCUUUGGCAUCUUCUCUGUCCGUCACACUCUUCAGAUCUGUUCUCUCUUCCUGUUCUCUCUUCCUCUCUCCUGUCCUGCUCAUAAAAAAAAGAAUCAAUCACCAUUUGAAACAUUCGUACAACAUUUCUGGCUAUAGCCCCCAAUGCCCAGGACGGACUGUACCAAUACCCAAUGACUACUAUUGUCGCACUGAAAAAGGAUUAAAAAGGCUAUUGACUACUCAGACUGGGCUACGUUUACUGCUACAAAGGAAAUAGCUUGGGAGCAAACAAAAAAAAAACAAUAAAAAACUAAAAAACAAGUCCACUAAUCGCUGUUCCUGCAAAAGUAAGCAGCAGAAGUGGGCAGAAGAGAAGAGCAAUGGUUUUAUAAUAUGCAUAACUUAAGGUGCUAGAGAAAAGAUAAAUACUUCUGAUGAUUAAGGUGAAUGUUGCAACGCUAACAUUCGUCUUGGGGUGAAAAAAAAUCGAGUAUAUUCAAUUCCUGGCUAGGUUGCUGUUAGUGUGGUUAGCUUAAUAAAACUUCCCAGCAUCA